Molecule: ribosomal RNA, 465 nt
Filed under: uncultured bacterium
Lineage: Bacteria
Description: partial 16S ribosomal RNA
Rfam family: Bacterial small subunit ribosomal RNA
Source: RNAcentral
GAUGAACGCUGGCGGCGUGCUUAACACAUGCAAGUCGAACGAUGAAGCCCAGCUUGCUGGGUGGAUUAGUGGCGAACGGGUGAGUAACACGUGAGUAACCUGCCCUUGACUCUAGGAUAAGCCCGGGAAACUGGGUCUAAUACUGGAUAGGAACGUCUACCGCAUGGGGGGUGUUGGAAAGAAUUUCGGUCAUGGAUGGACUCGCGGCCUAUCAGCUUGUUGGUGAGGUAAUGGCUCACCAAGGCGACGACGGGUAGCCGGCCUGAGAGGGUGACCGGCCACACUGGGACUGAGACACGGCCCAGACUCCUACGGGAGGCAGCAGUGGGGAAUAUUGCACAAUGGGCGAAAGCCUGAUGCAGCGACGCCGCGUGCGGGAUGACGGCCUUCGGGUUGUAAACCUCUUUCAGUAGGGAAGAAGCGAAAGUGACGGUACCUGCAGAAGAAGCACCGGCUAACUACGUG